CCAAAACAAUCUGCGAUAGUAUCUGGUCAGCCCGAUUUUAGUGCAAUUGAAAUCUCUCAAUCUCUCGAUCCUUUCCUUAAAAUCUAAAGAUGGUAGAAAUGCAGCUGAUUCAGCAUAAUGAGCUGGUGUACCUGGAGGAGGAGCUGGAGCAAUAUAUAGCAGCACAACCGGGCAGAGGCCUCUGAGUCUGAGAUUGGGAAAACCCGCUGGAUGAUGAGCCUUUUGUUUUAGAUUGAGGUAGGCUACUUUGAAUUCAAAUGCUGUAUUGGGAAAGUUGCCGAAAACAUGGCCAAACUACUUGAUGAAUAUUGUUAACAUAGCUAU
This is a long non-coding RNA of Strongylocentrotus purpuratus (purple sea urchin), 324 nucleotides long. RefSeq lists it as uncharacterized. The transcript is spliced from 2 exons. NCBI's taxonomy places the organism in Eukaryota, Metazoa, Echinodermata, Echinoidea, Camarodonta, Strongylocentrotidae. The record is from RefSeq and is a predicted model, not a curated record.